Small nucleolar RNA from Perognathus longimembris pacificus (Pacific pocket mouse), 133 nucleotides. RefSeq annotates it as small nucleolar RNA SNORA72. The record is from RefSeq and is a predicted model, not a curated record. Lineage: Eukaryota; Metazoa; Chordata; Mammalia; Rodentia; Heteromyidae. The transcript has a single exon.
CUGUGAAUAUCGUCACUAUUCUGAUUUUGUAGUAAAAUAAGGCAGGAUGAACUUUCAUCAUAUUAAGAUCUUGCGUGAAUACUCAGGUCUAUUUUUUUUUUCCGCUCUGGGUUUGUAAGUGCUGGUAAUGAAC